RNAcentral lists this transfer RNA (72 nucleotides) under Parcubacteria group bacterium RIFCSPHIGHO2_01_FULL_40_30. Its description in RNAcentral is "tRNA-Val". It matches the Rfam family "tRNA". From Rfam's summary of the family: Transfer RNA (tRNA) molecules are approximately 80 nucleotides in length. RNAcentral also lists the same sequence under 4 other names. The record is from RNAcentral.
GGGCGGUUAGUUCAAUGGCAGAACGUCGCUUUUACACAGCGAAGGCUGUAGGUCCGAUUCCUACACCGCCCA